Molecule: long non-coding RNA, 919 nt
Organism: Bombyx mandarina (wild silkworm)
Lineage: Eukaryota; Metazoa; Arthropoda; Insecta; Lepidoptera; Bombycidae
Source: RefSeq, a predicted model, not a curated record
UUCGUUAAAAAUAAAUAUAUUGUUCUUGAGCUUUUGUGUAACAAAAGAUAAUCUUAUUAGCUUGAUAAAAGACUUUUUUAGUUCAGAAUUAACAAUAUUUCAUUCGAUGAAUCUGAAAAUUUCUUUGAAUACAAAUUGUAACUUUUUAAUUUUCUACUUCACAGCCAGAAUAUUUUUAAUAAUUAUUUACAAAAAUAUUAAUUGAACUUUCGAUACAUUGCUUCUGUAAUGCAUAAAAUUUAAAAAAAUAUAAAUACAUAAUUAUUUAUGCAGUCAUGUCAUAUGAGAUUUAGUUGCUUACAAAAAUAAAGAUAUACGUUUUUAACGAUAUAUUUUUACUAAAAAUAUUAUAAAUGCGAUCUACAAAAUGUAAGCUGCUACUUAUUAAAAAUAAAUAAUUUGGUUCGUUUCAUUAUAUGCGUGUCGUAUUUGUUGGCAACCCCUGACGUCAUUUAUAUGUUCUCUUGGCCUAAAGUUCUCUGAUUGCUUCGACGUCUUGCUUUUAGACAUCUUGAUUUGAUUCUCAUAUAUUUUUUCCGAAACAGCAUCUAAUUUCUGAUCUCUUAAAUAUAUUCGAUACCAUGAUACUAUCUAAAACGAAAAUCCAAUUUUAUCUUUAAUAGUCAUUAUAAUAUAUUGAAGAGUGAUAGGCUAUUUGAGUUUAAGGGACAUUUUUGCAACAUUACGUAGGGCCAUUUAAAGUUUAAAAAUUUGAAUAAAUAUCAUAACAAAAAACUUGUAGAAACUAGCUGAAGAUGUUUUUUUUUGUUUGCUCCAUUCUUGGAGUAUAACUUUAGUAUCAAGCGAAAUGUCGCUUAAACUAUAUAACCUUUCAUGCCUCAAUAUAUGUUAUAUAUACAUAUAUAUGACAUCAGGUGUUACAAAUAUAUAUCAGUGAGCUACCGAAAAAAAAAAAAAA